This 436-nucleotide long non-coding RNA is filed under the name Salvator merianae (Argentine black and white tegu). RNAcentral's name for it is "lncRNA (ENSSMRG00000014037.1)". Lineage: Eukaryota; Metazoa; Chordata; Lepidosauria; Squamata; Teiidae. The record is from RNAcentral.
GUUGAGGGAGGAAACUGGAAAAAACCUGUCUUCUUCUUCCUUCCUUAAACUUUAGAAGUUCAAUUAUUCCUUUUAAUUGUACUUGAUCUCACAUUUCUACAGCUGUCGUGGAAGACAAAGAAUGCAUGGGUGUUUCUUUUUCAGGCCUGGGGAGAAAGAAAAACCAAAUUGCAUUGCACCGAACAUGCCCUUAAAACUACAGAUUUGUGCACAGUAAAAGGCUGCCUAGAAGAUCUGCUUGGGAAAGGAAGAAUUAUGAUGGCUGUACUGCAAGAGUUCUUAGAUUCAUUGGAUCUUGGAAUAUUAAGAACACAACAUAUGGCACUGGUGAGAAGAUAAUUAUUGCUCAAGUCUCUUACCUAAAGGCAUUUGUCCAAAAAGAAUGGAAAAGAAUGAGAAGAGCUUUCAGUUCAAAGCCUCAAAAGAUACAGCCUCC